CAGAAACUCAAAGGAAUUGACGGGGGCCCGCACAAGCGGUGGAGUAUGUGGUUUAAUUCGAUGCAACGCGAAGAACCUUACCUGGUCUUGACAUCCCGGAGACCCUUAGGAAACUAGGGGGUGCUUCCAUCUGGAAGAAUCUGGAGACAGGUGCUGCAUGGCUGUCGUCAGCUCGUGUCGUGAGAUGUUGGGUUAAGUCCCGCAACGAGCGCAACCCUUGCCUUUAGUUGCCAGCAGUUCGGCUGGGCACUCUAAAGGGACUGCCGGUGUUAAACCGGAGGAAGGUGGGGAUGACGUCAAGUCCUCAUGGCCUUUAUGACCAGGGCUACACACGUACUACAAUGGCCGAUACAAAGGGCAGCGACACUGCGAGGUGAAGCCAAUCCCGUAAAAUCGGUCUCAGUCCGGAUUGGAGUCUGCAACUCGACUCCAUGAAGUUGGAAUCGCUAGUAAUCGUGGAUCAGCAUGCCACGGUGAUUACGUUCCCGGGCCUU
RNAcentral lists this ribosomal RNA (494 nucleotides) under uncultured Desulfobulbus sp. RNAcentral's name for it is "bacterial SSU rRNA". It matches the Rfam family "Bacterial small subunit ribosomal RNA", at positions 894 to 1382 of the family's 1533-position model. The record is from RNAcentral. Lineage: Bacteria; Pseudomonadati; Thermodesulfobacteriota; Desulfobulbia; Desulfobulbales; Desulfobulbaceae.